Chenopodium quinoa (quinoa) is the source of this 1655-nucleotide long non-coding RNA. RefSeq lists it as uncharacterized. NCBI's taxonomy places the organism in Eukaryota, Viridiplantae, Streptophyta, Magnoliopsida, Caryophyllales, Amaranthaceae. The record is from RefSeq and is a predicted model, not a curated record. The transcript has 2 exons.
GGGGUAGGAGGCAGAGUCUAGAAAGUGAGAAAGAAGAGGAGGAAAGAGAAAAGGGGGAGAGAUAAAGAGUAGGGGAAAGAUUAAAAGGGGCGGAAAACUUAUAUGAGAAAGGUGGGUUCCGAUUUAGGGUUAAGGAGGUUUUUUAUUUUAAUUAUUUUAAACAAAAUAAAUAUUUCGACGGAAAUUCCGUUGAAAAUUAAACUUUUUGACAGAAUAUUCCGUCGUAAAGUACAAAUAUUCCUACGGAUUUAUAUUCUGUCGGAAAUUUCUGACAGAUUUCCGACGGAUUAUUUAAAUUUGUCGCAAAUUUUGGAUUUUUCGACGAAAUUAUGUUCGUCGGAACAUUUCCGUCGCAAAUCGACCUGAUUCUUAAGAGUGUUAGCAGGGGCUAAUGAGCUACAAGUAGCCGAUGUAGGAGAUAAAUUAAUAAGCAUUGAGACCAUAAAUAGUAUCAUGAUCAAGCAGUGGCUCUCUUGCACCUUCAAUCUAGAUUAAGUAUCUUCUUUUUCUACAGGUUACAGUGUAGUAUUAGCUUGGAUGAUUUAACAUUGGUAAAAAAAAAAAAAAAAACUAGACCUCAAAGCAUUACAUUGCACAAGCAUAUCCUGAUAUCCUCCUAAUAAUCAGAGUGAUGUAACAUUAUUUGACAUGAUAAAUAAACUUUAAUCAUUUAACCAUGAUGCAUUGUUUUUCCUGUGAGUUGUGAAUGUCAAAUUUAAAUUAACACAAUCUGAUAGCAGAGUAGAAAAUGAAAAGAGCCAAAACUUGUUCCGGUUAUGGAUAUCACUUUUAGUGAUAUUGGUUAUCGGGUACCCGAACCGUUAGUACUAACUGUACGAAUACCGGUCCCAUGCUCACCCCUACAUAGUAUCUAUUGUCUAAUUUUGGCAUCUACUAAGUACAUCAAUUAAGGCAAAUAACAUUUUUAAAUGCAAGUAUGCAACUAUUUUAAAUUAAAUCAUGUAUAAUUUUAGAAGCAACAAGAGAUCAAGACAUAAUUGAACAAAUUUUUCUAUGAGGCAUUUCAUCAAACAUGUACCGUGCAAACUUAGGUUUAAACUUUUCUUAAUCAUGGUGGACUAGUUGUAUUUGCAAGCUUAAUUUAAUAUUUCAGAUACAACUAGUCCACUAUUGCCAAGAAAAGUUUAAACCUUUAAAACCAAAAUUAAAAUUUUUAAUAAAACGAGAAACUUAGGAAAGUAAAAAAUUAAGUACUUUCGAAAUGACCAAAAAGUCGCGCAUAAAAAAGAGUCAAACAAUUCAAAUUCCAAGUUUGAUAAAACAAAAACCCUAAAUCCCAAUUGUUCUUGCAAAUUAGGAAAAAAAUGGAAGUGGGUGCGAAGAGAGAGAAGGAGAAGCAGAAGGAGAAUGAAAAACCUCCUUAUGUCGUUGCAAAAGAUGAUACCAAACCGGUUCUUCAAGAUCCUUUAUGGAGUUCAGACCCAACUCAAGCUGAACAAGCAGUGCUGCGGUUGCCACCAUUUCCCUUGAGAUCAAAAUCUUAGUUCAAUUUGAGAUGUUAAUCAUUGCUAUGUGUAAGAGGGGUUUUUUUUUUUUUUUUUUUUUUUUAAAUGCUACUUUUGUUGGUUUUUGAACUGAUGUACAAUUGAUUGAAUGGAGUGAUGUGCUAAUAUAAUUAUGAUUAUUUUAUGAAA